GAGAGAGUGCAUGUAGCACCUCAGUACUACACGGUCGUUGUUUGUUUCUUGGUUUGUUUUAAGUUUCACCAAAAUAAAGAUGUGGAACUCCAAUCACGCUGCGCCUUGGUCCGUCUCUCCACACGAUCGUGACAGCGCAGUUGAGAAUGUUUACAUGUCCUUGCCGGUUUUGACCGUUCUGACUGCCCUGAUCCCGAACCUGCCUGCCAUUCUAUAUCUUGCCCCACCUCACUGGAUUAUUGACCCCUGCCUGCACUGAGACUGCCUGCCGUUCUGGACCUUUCACACCCUCUGGAUUACUGACCUCUGCCUGCAUUUGACCUGUUUGCCUGCCCCUGUACUAGAAAUACACUGUUGUUACUUCGACAUUGUGCAUUCGGGUCAUACCUGAAACCUGAUAAUCACAAGACUUUGGCUAAAUUUCACAUUUUGAAUAUUGAAUACUCCAGCCAAUGACAUGAGAUGUUCUAAAACUACAAUUCAGAUCAAACAAACCGUCGCUUUGUGUCUCAUCUCUACUAAUGCUCUCAGGUGUAAGGACAUUUCAUUUGAUGACUUUGGGUCUUUCGAGCAUCAUGUUAUACGGUUUAAAUGUCAGCCACCAGUGCUGUCCAUGACCAAAACCUGUGAUCAAGUUAGAAGGCUCUGCCCCACCUUUUAACUGAUUUAUCUGAACUAGUGUCUAUUGUCCUUCAGAACUAUGAUAUAAUCAUUGUGUUGGGAUAUUUGAAUAUUUAUGUUGACAAAGAACAUGACUCCAAGGCCAUUGAGUUUGAUGAACCUUUUGAGCUCUAUGGACUUUAUCCAACAUGUUACUGAGCCCACCCAUAACCGUGGCCUUUACGCUGGACCAAGGUGCUAUCUUUUGAGAUAUCCUCUAUUGUUAAUGUUGCUUUAUCUUGAUUACCACUGUAUAUGUUUUACUACCGUGUUGCCCAUAGCACAGGGUAAUAAUGAACGCUUUAUUAAGAAACGCUAUCUUACCUCUGAAGUUGCUACAGAUUUUAUUGACUAUGACGAUAUUCUGCUAUUCUGCCUUCCUCUUGUGAUGAUUUAGUUUAUAACUUCAAUAGCAAAUUAAGGGCAUCCAUAGCUCCAGUAAAGGUGAAAAAGCCCACAUCCAAAUGGAGAGCCCCUUGAAUGAGUGAGGAAACUAAUCAAUUAAAGACAAAUGGCAGAAAAACUGAGCGGAAGUGGAGAAAGUAAAAGUGGAAGGUCGAUUAUCAUUCUGAGAGAGCAACUUGGCAUAUAUAACAAGGCAAUUAGAAGUGCCAGACAGGCAAAUUUUUCUAACUUGAUCAUAAAUAUUCAGAAUAAUUUGAUGGCCUGAUAAGUCGUACCCCCACAAACCAUUGUGAACUUUCCUCUACAUCUAAAUGUGAUGAGUUUGCGGCAUAUUUCAGAGAUAAGAUAAUCAACAUUAGGCUGUGUAUCAGUCAAGCAAGACCUGAUGAUAAGUUUGAUGAUAUGUGCCCUAGCCUGUCAUGCAAAGCCACUGUGGAUUUGUUUUCCCUGGUUGACACAGACAUACUCGGGAAAGUGAUAUCACAACUUAAGCCUGCUACCUGCUUUCUUGAUCUUACCCCACCACCUUCUUCAAAACAGUUUUUAAUUGCACAUCUGAAGAAGUGCACGCUAUUUUAAUAACUCCCCACUGCACUAAAAACUGCUAUGGUGAAACCCCUUCUGAAGAAAAGUAAUCUAUAUUAUUCAGCUUUGGGCAAUUGUCGGGCCAAUCUCCAACCUUCCAUUCUUAAGCAAAAAUCUGGAGAAUUUGGUGUGCAAACAGCUGAAUGUGCCAACUUAUUGAAAAAUUCCAAUCUGGUUUCCGUUCCCACCACAGCACAAAGACAGCCUUGGUUAAAGUAUGAAAUUAUUUUAGAGCCAACAUAGAUGCCAAACAGCUCUCUGUCCUUAUCUUCUUAGAUAUAAGUGCUGCAUUCAACACUACUGACCAUGAUGUCCUUUUGGUCAGACCGGAGAGGUGGGUUGGCCUCUGAUGUCCAGUUCUAAAUUCGUUUAGGACCUAUUUAACCUGUGAAGUUUUUUGUCACCCUUGUCAGUUGGCUUCCACAAGGUUCGAUUUUGGGUCUGGUACUGUUUUGGGUCCAGUACUGCAGCGUUAUCAGAAAGCACAGCAUUGAUUUUCACUGCUAAGCAGACAACUUUACAUUUCUGUGUCACAAGGGGAUUUUAAGCUCCACUAAUCAAUUAUUUAACUGUAUUAGUCAUUUAAAUACUUGGAUGGCUCAUAACUUCCUUCAGCUAAAUCAAGA
Long non-coding RNA from Oncorhynchus tshawytscha (Chinook salmon), 2276 nucleotides. Lineage: Eukaryota; Metazoa; Chordata; Actinopteri; Salmoniformes; Salmonidae. The record is from Ensembl.